RNAcentral lists this ribosomal RNA (507 nucleotides) under uncultured bacterium. RNAcentral's name for it is "partial 16S ribosomal RNA". It matches the Rfam family "Bacterial small subunit ribosomal RNA", at positions 30 to 523 of the family's 1533-position model. The record is from RNAcentral.
AUUGAACGCUGGCGGCAGGCCUAACACAUGCAAGUCGAGCGGCAGCGGAAGGAAGCUUGCUUCCUUGCCGGCGAGCGGCGGACGGGUGAGUAAGGUAUGGGGAUCUGGCCGAAGGCGGGGGAUAACCACUGGAAACGGUGGCUAAUACCGCAUAAUCUCUAAGGAGCAAAGUGGGGGACCGUUCAGGCCUCACACCUUCGGACGAACCCAUAUGAGAUUAGCCAGUAGGUGGGGUAAUGGCUCACCUAGGCGACGAUCUCUAGCUGGUCUGAGGGGAUGAUAAGCCACACUGGGACUGAGACACGGCCCAGACUCCUACGGGAGGCAGCAGUGGGGAAUAUUGCACAAUGGGCGCAAGCCUGAUGCAGCCAUGCCGCGUGUAUGAAGAAGGCCUUCGGGUUGUAAAGUACUUUCAGUCGUGAGGAAGGUGUUAAGGUUAAUAACCUUAGCAAUUGACGUUAGCGACAGAAGAAGCACCGGCUAACUCCGUGCCAGCCGCCGCCGUAA